GAUGAAGAACGUAGCGAAAUGCGAUACGUAAUGUGAAUUGCAAAUUCAGUGAAUCAUCGAGUCUUUGAACGCACAUUGCGCCCCCUGGUAUUCCGGGGGGCAUGCCUGUCCGAGCGUCAUUGCUGCCCUCAAGCACGGCUUGUGUGUUGGGCCCCGUCCUCCGAUCCCGGGGGACGGGCCCGAAAGGCAGCGGCGGCACCGCGUCCGGUCCUCGAGCGUAUGGGGCUUUGUCAUCCGCUCUGUAGGCCCGGCCGGCGCUUGCCGAUCAACCCAAAUUUUUUAUCCAGGUUGACCUCGGAUCAGGUAGGGAUACCCGCUGAACUUAAGCAUAUCAAUAAGCGGAGGA
RNAcentral lists this unclassified non-coding RNA (346 nucleotides) under soil metagenome. RNAcentral's name for it is "partial contains 5.8S ribosomal RNA, internal transcribed spacer 2, and large subunit ribosomal RNA". The stretch from base 1 to 119 matches the Rfam family "5.8S ribosomal RNA", at positions 35 to 154 of the family's 154-position model. The record is from RNAcentral.